UACAGGGGGUGCAAACGUUGCUCGGAAUUAUUGGGCGUAAAGCGCGCGUAGGCGGCUACUUAAGUCGGAUGUGAAAGCCCCUGGCUCAACUGGGGAAGUGCACCCGAAACUGAGUGGCUUGAGUACUAAAGAGGGUCGCGGAAUUCCCGGUGUAGAGGUGAAAUUCGUAGAUAUCGGGAGGACGGAUAAAGGUGAAAACAAACCUCUAUGUAUAAACAGACGUUGAGGGACGAAGGCAUUGUGUAACGAACAGG
This 254-nucleotide ribosomal RNA is filed under the name uncultured bacterium. RNAcentral's name for it is "partial 16S ribosomal RNA". It matches the Rfam family "Bacterial small subunit ribosomal RNA", at positions 524 to 776 of the family's 1533-position model. The record is from RNAcentral.